This 491-nucleotide ribosomal RNA is filed under the name uncultured bacterium. Its description in RNAcentral is "bacterial SSU rRNA". It matches the Rfam family "Bacterial small subunit ribosomal RNA", at positions 30 to 511 of the family's 1533-position model. The record is from RNAcentral.
AUUGAACGCUGGCGGCAGGCUUAACACAUGCAAGUCGAGCGGGGUGAUGUGCUUCGGUACUGAUCCUAGCGGCGGACGGGUGAGUAAUGCCUAGGAAUCUGCCAUUUAGUGGGGGACAACAUUCCGAAAGGAAUGCUAAUACCACAUACGUCCUACGGGAGAAAGCAGGGGAUCUUCGGACCUUGCGCUAAAUGAUGAGCCUAAGUCGGAUUAGCUAGUUGGUGGGGUAAAAGGCCUACCAAGGCGACGAUCUGUAGCGGGUCUGAGAGGAUGAUCCGCCACACUGGGACUGAGACACGGCCCAGACUCCUACGGGAGGCAGCAGUGGGGAAUAUUGGACAAUGGGCGGAAGCCUGAUCCAGCCAUGCCGCGUGUGUGAAGAAGGCCUUUUGGUUGUAAAGCACUUUAAGCGAGGAGGAGGCUACCUGGGAUUAAUACUCUGGGAUAGUGGACGUUACUCGCAGAAUAAGCACCGGCUAACUCUGUGCCAG